GACGAACGCUGGCGGCGCGCCUAACACAUGCAAGUCGAACGGAGCUGAGAGAAGCUUGCUUUUCUUAGCUUAGUGGCGAACGGGUGAGUCACGCGUGAGUAACCUGCCCUGGCGUGGGGGACAACAGUUGGAAACGACUGCUAAUACCGCAUAAGCCCACGCUCCGGCAUCGGCUUGAGGGAAAAAGAUUUAUUCGCUUCAGGAUGGACUCGCGUCCAAUUAGCUAGUUGGUGAGGUAACGGCCUACCAAGGCGACGAUUGGUAGCCGGACUGAGAGGUUGAACGGCCACAUUGGGACUGAGACACGGCCCAGACUCCUACGGGAGGCAGCAGUGGGGGAUAUUGCACAAUGGGGGAAACCCUGAUGCAGCGACGCCGCGUGGAGGAAGAAGGUUUUCGGAUUGUAAACUCCUGUCGUUAGGGACGAUAAUGACGGUACCUAACAAGAAAGCACCGGCUAACUACGUG
RNAcentral lists this ribosomal RNA (468 nucleotides) under uncultured bacterium. RNAcentral's name for it is "partial 16S ribosomal RNA". It matches the Rfam family "Bacterial small subunit ribosomal RNA", at positions 28 to 507 of the family's 1533-position model. The record is from RNAcentral.